AUUCCGCUUUCUGUUGCAGACUUCAGAGUCACCGUGAUCAGCGACCUUUCUCCAGGACAAUUUCUCUUUCUCUACACACAGCAAACAGAGCGGUUUUGUUACAGUGCAAGCCUUUCACAUCACGUGAGGAUCAAGGGCUCAAUUGGUUGUCGUGAGAACAAAAAUGGUGACAAGCGUAUCAAGAAAAUACUGAUCUGGUCUUUAAAAAAAAAGCUGAAGGUUUCUCCCUCCCCGCUGCAACCCCCCUCCCCCUGCACGCCCUACAGUGGGCGAAGCUACAAGUUAUGAAUGUGAAACAUUUCUCAGCCAUCUAGGAUCUCGGAAGUUCGGAAGGAGGGAAAUGUAAUGGCCACAAGAGCAAAGCAGAUGUUUUAAAGAAACAGCUUAUAAACCUCUCCUCAACUGAUCUCCAAUUUGUCGGCUUUCCCAAGGGGGCCAAUGCAGCGGACGCCUGGGGGGCGGGGGGGGGGGCGGGCAGAGUACCUCCGAGCUGCUGGGAUUUAGGAUCCCCCUCCCCUUCAUGUAUUAAACAAAGAAAAACAUUUUGCUAGCUCCCAAACAGGGACUUGUAAUAAACACACCAUUGUUACUA
RNAcentral lists this long non-coding RNA (592 nucleotides) under Mus musculus (house mouse). RNAcentral describes it as "predicted gene 4221, transcript variant 2 (Gm4221)". The record is from RNAcentral. Lineage: Eukaryota; Metazoa; Chordata; Mammalia; Rodentia; Muridae.